RNAcentral lists this ribosomal RNA (497 nucleotides) under uncultured bacterium. RNAcentral's name for it is "partial 16S ribosomal RNA". It matches the Rfam family "Bacterial small subunit ribosomal RNA", at positions 28 to 507 of the family's 1533-position model. The record is from RNAcentral.
GAUGAACGCUGGCGGCGUGCCUAAUACAUGCAAGUCGAGCGAACGGACGAGAAGCUUGCUUCUCUGAUGUUAGCGGCGGACGGGUGAGUAACACGUGGAUAACCUACCUAUAAGACUGGGAUAACUUCGGGAAACCGGAGCUAAUACCGGAUAAUAUUUUGAACCGCAUGGUUCAAAAGUGAAAGACGGUCUUGCUGUCACUUAUAGAUGGAUCCGCGCUGCAUUAGCUAGUUGGUAAGGUAACGGCUUACCAAGGCAACGAUGCAUAGCCGACCUGAGAGGGUGAUCGGCCACCCUGGAACUGGGACACGGUCCAGACUCCUACGGGAGGCAGCAGUAGGGUAUCUUCCGCAAUGGGCGAAAGCCUGACGGAGCAACGCCGCGUGAGUGAUGAAGGUCUUCGGAUCGUAAAACUCUGUUAUUAGGGAAGAACAUAUGUGUAAGUAACUGUGCACAUCUUGACGGUACCUAAUCAGAAAGCCACGGCUAACUACGUG